CAACGUAGACAACUUCCCUCCCAGAGGGGGAUAGCCCGCCGAAAGGCGGGGUAAUACCGCGUACGAUCAAGCUAUGGCAUCACGGCUUGAUGAAACAGUCCGCAAGGAUUGCUGGGAGAAAGGUCUGCGGCCUAUCAGCUAGUUGGUGAGGUAACGGCUCACCAAGGCAACGACGGGUAUCCGGCCUGAAAGGGUGAUCGGACACACUGACACUGAGACACGGGUCAG
This 228-nucleotide ribosomal RNA is filed under the name uncultured bacterium. Its description in RNAcentral is "partial 16S ribosomal RNA". It matches the Rfam family "Bacterial small subunit ribosomal RNA", at positions 113 to 334 of the family's 1533-position model. The record is from RNAcentral.